GUGGUGGAUAUUUUCUUUUGGUGUUGUUCAUUAAAAGAUGAAGGGCCGUUGGAGGUACUGCUCACCAAGGUGAAGGGCUGUUGGAGGUGCUGUUCAUCAAAAAGUGAAGGACAGUUCUUCGUUGGUGCUAUUCGCUUAAGAAUAAAGUGCCGUUCUUCAUUGGCGCUGUUCGUUUAAGAGCGAAGGACCUCUUUAUUGGCACUAUUCACUUAAGAGCGAAGGAUCAAGGUCUUUAUUGGUACUAUUUACUUAAUAGCAAAGGGCCGUUCUUUGGUGCUGUUCGCUGAAGAGCGAGUUCGCUUAAUAGCGAAGAGCCAUUCAUCGAUGCUGUUCGCUGAAGA
Molecule: long non-coding RNA, 341 nt
Filed under: Elaeis guineensis (African oil palm)
Lineage: Eukaryota; Viridiplantae; Streptophyta; Magnoliopsida; Arecales; Arecaceae
Description: long non-coding RNA (EGUI_LNC034890)
Source: RNAcentral